Molecule: ribosomal RNA, 465 nt
Filed under: uncultured bacterium
Lineage: Bacteria
Description: partial 16S ribosomal RNA
Rfam family: Bacterial small subunit ribosomal RNA
Source: RNAcentral
GACGAACGCUGGCGGCGUGCUUAACACAUGCAAGUCGAACGGAAAGGCCCUGCUUGCAGGGUACUCGAGUGGCGAACGGGUGAGUAACACGUGGGUGAUCUGCCCUGCACUUCGGGAUAAGCCUGGGAAACUGGGUCUAAUACCGGAUAGGAGCCAUUUUUAGUGUGAUGGUUGGAAAGUUUUUUCGGUGUAGGAUGAGCUCGCGGCCUAUCAGCUUGUUGGUGGGGUAAUGGCCUACCAAGGCGGCGACGGGUAGCCGGCCUGAGAGGGUGGACGGCCACAUUGGGACUGAGAUACGGCCCAGACUCCUACGGGAGGCAGCGGGGGGGAAUAUUGCACAAUGGGGGCAAGCCUGAUGCAGCGACGCCGCGUGGGGGAUGACGGCCUUCGGGUUGUAAACUCCUUUCGCUAGGGAAGGAGCUUUUUGUGACGGUACCUAGAUAAGAAGCACCGGCUAACUACGUG